AGAAGACCAGAAGAAGAAGAUCAAAACAGACAGCGGUCAAGUUAUCAGUAACAAGAAGAACAGGAAGAACUUUUAUGAGGAGUGGAAGAAAAAUACAAGAUUGAUGAUACAGGAUCUGGAUCAGACGGAGAAACAGGCGGAGGAGGCAGGAAGCCAGCAAGAGGUCGUGGCCGUGGCCGACGAGGUCCAAACGUACAGAGCUCCGGUGACCACAAAGCACGCUCGGAGCUGAAAACAAAGGAUCAGAUCAUGAAGCAGCGCAAGAAAAAGCAGAAGCACCAGUUCCUGCAGG
Oreochromis aureus is the source of this 292-nucleotide long non-coding RNA. RefSeq lists it as uncharacterized. The record is from RefSeq and is a predicted model, not a curated record. The transcript has 3 exons. Lineage: Eukaryota; Metazoa; Chordata; Actinopteri; Cichliformes; Cichlidae.